This 440-nucleotide ribosomal RNA is filed under the name uncultured bacterium. RNAcentral's name for it is "partial 16S ribosomal RNA". It matches the Rfam family "Bacterial small subunit ribosomal RNA", at positions 338 to 795 of the family's 1533-position model. The record is from RNAcentral.
CCUACGGGAGGCAGCAGUGGGGGAUAUUGCACAAUGGGGGAAACCCUGAUGCAGCGACGCCGCGUGGGUGAAGAAGCGCCUCGGCGCGUAAAGCCCUGUCAGCAGGGAAGAAAAUGACGGUACCUGAAGAAGAAGCCCCGGCUAACUACGUGCCAGCAGCCGCGGUAAUACGUCGGGGGCAAGCGUUUUCCGGAUUUACUGGGUGUAAAGGGGGCGCAGACGGCGAUGCAAGCCAGGAGUGAAAGCCCGGGGCCCCACCCCCGGACUGCCCUUGGAACUGCGUGGCUAGAGUGCAGGAGGGGCAGGCGGAAUGCCUGGUGUAGCGGUGAAAUGCGUAGAUAUCAGGAAGAACACCGGUGGCGAAGGCGGCCUGCUGGACUGCAACUGACGUUGAGGCCCGAAAGCGUGGGGAGCAAACAGGAUUAGAUACCCUUGUAGUC